AAAGAAAAGCCUUUUAUUAUUAAUAAAUAAUUCGAUACAAGUAUCAAAAGUAUUGGCCUCUAGGGCUUACACCAACAUUUCCACCCAAGCUCUCUAGCUUCAUUGCUCCCAUUAAGUCCAUAUGAAGAAGUUCCAACACUUUAGAAGAAGUCUGAUGUUGCAACAUUGGGUGUGACAUCAUUGGGUGUGACAUCAUAGAGAAAAGACAUAGAGAGAAAUAAACUCUCACACUCCAAGCCUCCUUCAGAAACAAAAUGUCAAGAUAUUAUGUCUGACAUUAC
Molecule: long non-coding RNA, 281 nt
Filed under: Lathyrus oleraceus (garden pea)
Lineage: Eukaryota; Viridiplantae; Streptophyta; Magnoliopsida; Fabales; Fabaceae
Description: Pisum sativum (pea) long non-coding RNA (PSAT_LNC004648)
Source: RNAcentral